RNAcentral lists this ribosomal RNA (1161 nucleotides) under Sesame phyllody phytoplasma. RNAcentral describes it as "bacterial SSU rRNA". It matches the Rfam family "Bacterial small subunit ribosomal RNA", at positions 181 to 1354 of the family's 1533-position model. The record is from RNAcentral. Lineage: Bacteria; Bacillati; Mycoplasmatota; Mollicutes; Acholeplasmatales; Acholeplasmataceae.
UCUUCUUGUUUUUAAAGACCUAGCAAUAGGUAUGCUUAGGGAGGAGCUUGCGUCACAUUAGUUAGUUGGUGGGGUAAAGGCCUACCAAGACUAUGAUGUGUAGCCGGGCUGAGAGGUUGAACGGCCACAUUGGGACUGAGACACGGCCCAAACUCCUACGGGAGGCAGCAGUAGGGAAUUUUCGGCAAUGGAGGAAACUCUGACCGAGCAACGCCGCGUGAACGAUGAAGUAUUUCGGUACGUAAAGUUCUUUUAUUAGGGAAGAAUAAAUGAUGGAAAAAUCAUUCUGACGGUACCUAAUGAAUAAGCCCCGGCUAACUAUGUGCCAGCAGCCGCGGUAAUACAUAGGGGGCAAGCGUUAUCCGGAAUUAUUGGGCGUAAAGGGUGCGUAGGCGGUUAAAUAAGUUUAUGGUCUAAGUGCAAUGCUCAACAUUGUGAUGCUAUAAAAACUGUUUAGCUAGAGUAAGAUAGAGGCAAGUGGAAUUCCAUGUGUAGUGGUAAAAUGCGUAAAUAUAUGGAGGAACACCAGUAGCGAAGGCGGCUUGCUGGGUCUUUACUGACGCUGAGGCACGAAAGCGUGGGGAGCAAACAGGAUUAGAUACCCUGGUAGUCCACGCCGUAAACGAUGAGUACUAAACGUUGGGUAAAACCAGUGUUGAAGUUAACACAUUAAGUACUCCGCCUGAGUAGUACGUACGCAAGUAUGAAACUUAAAGGAAUUGACGGGACUCCGCACAAGCGGUGGAUCAUGUUGUUUAAUUCGAAGGUACCCGAAAAACCUCACCAGGUCUUGACAUGCUUCUGCAAAGCUGUAGAAACACAGUGGAGGUUAUCAGUUGCACAGGUGGUGCAUGGUUGUCGUCAGCUCGUGUCGUGAGAUGUUGGGUUAAGUCCCGCAACGAGCGCAACCCUUAUUGUUAGUUACCAGCACGUAAUGGUGGGGACUUUAGCAAGACUGCCAGUGAUAAAUUGGAGGAAGGGGGGACGACGUCAAAUCAUCAUGCCCCUUAUGACCUGGGCUACAAACGUGAUACAAUGGCUGUUACAAAGGGUAGCUGAAGCGCAAGUUUUUGGCGAAUCUCAAAAAAACAGUCUCAGUUCGGAUUGAAGUCUGCAACUCGACUUCAUGAAGUUGGAAUCGCUAGUAAUCGCGAAUCAGCA